RNAcentral lists this long non-coding RNA (2028 nucleotides) under Mus musculus (house mouse). Its description in RNAcentral is "long non-coding RNA chr5:45702732-45704760". Lineage: Eukaryota; Metazoa; Chordata; Mammalia; Rodentia; Muridae. The record is from RNAcentral.
UUCCGUUAGUUUCUUCCUUCCUACACUAUGUUUACCAACACUGGCUGACAGUCUCAGUGUUUGUCCUUUUUUUUUCCCCCUCCUGGCACAGUUGUUUUCUACUAUAUUUUACCAAAAAUAAAAUUUAAAUUAUGUAAUAUUUCAAUCUAUAUAAUUAGAUAUUAAUAAAAUAACAACUAUAAGUUAGCUUGUUAGUCAUAAAAAUAUUAAGCAAAAACUGAUAUAAUUAUUAAAUGUUAAUAUUUUUUAAAAAUUUAAAAUAAUAAAUGGCAGAUCUAAAUGACAAUUACCUGAAACGUUAAAUUUUGAAAAAAAAAAUUGGUUUAUUUGUUAGACUGAGGUACGUGGGUUAUUUCAUGGUUUGUUUUUUUCCAAGUUAGUGAGACAGUGGUGUUUUUCUUACUAUAUGAAUUGCUAGCUGGGCGUGGUGGCGCACGCCUUUAAUCCCAGCAUUUGGGAGGCAGAGGCAGGCAGAUUUCUGAGUUUGAGGCCAGCCUGGUCUACAAAGUGAGUUCCAGGACAGCCAGGGCUACACAGAGAAACCCUGUCUCGGAAACAAACAAAACCCCAAAAAAGAAUUGCUGCUAGUUUUAAGAAAAAUAAAAAUAGUAUUUUUACAACCUGUAAUUUUGUUUAAAUUAUAUAUUAUGUUUAUGUUUUGUAUGUAUGAGUGCUGUCUUUCAAAAGAGAUUAUCAGAUUCUCUGGAAAUAGUUACAGUUCUUUGUGAGGUGCCUGACUUGCAUGCGGGACUUAAAUUUGAGUCCUCUGUGAGACGAAUAUGUCUCCCUUUACUGCUACACUUUCAUCUCUAGCUACAGAAAUCACUUCUUUGUAAUUAGAGAAUUUUGUUUUCUGUUCUGUUGUGUUACUGGAUGAGGCCUGAACUUGAGAUAUGCUGUGUUUGGCGAUUGAUGUAUGUGAGUGAGUGACAGGUGGUUAAAGGAAGUAUAACAUCCGUCUCUCUGAGAACAUAAGGCAAGCUAUAGAGGGGUGUGGGCUGGCAGCUGACAUACCAAGUAUAAUGCCAAAAAGAAAAACAAGUCAUGGCCACAAAUUAAGUUUUGUGUGACAAUGAUGCAUUUAUCUAAGGAAAGUAAUAUUUUCAUAAGUAUGGUAUUCUUUUCAGUACUUUAAGGAAGUUUUUUUUUAAGUUAGUUUUCUAGAGUGCUAUUACUACAGAGACAACAAAGGGUGCACAAAACUAUAUAUGUGAAAAAAUACAAGAAGUAAACACUUUCCUAUUAGUAAUGUUAAUGUGCAUACUAAUAUGUUUAAUUCAUGUACUUAAACUAUUACAAAGUUCUUAAGAUGCUAAUUGUAAGUCCUUAACAUUAUAAAAGCAAAAUUAUCCUUGUCUAUUUUUAUUUGUAUGAAAAAGAUGACACCUUGUCAACUUAAGCUUGUGAGCAAUUUAAAAUGCUUUAAAAACUAUGGAGCUAUGUAUCAGCUAAAAUGAGUAGUACUGACUCUUCCAGUCAAAGGAGGAAGCUGAAGGAGGUCCUUAUCCUAAAUCAGGUUUCUCUGUCAAAGCAGUCAACCUAACUGGAGGUGGGGGUUGACUGAUACACAGGGACACACUCUCAAGUGCUUAUGUAGGCAUCUCAUGCUAUUUCAGGAUUUGUAAUCUCUCAGGUCCUAAGACAGUUUACAGAGUAUGUAUGUGUGUAUGUAUAUGCAUUUGUGUUUUGAGGGUCAUGGAAUUUCAACUGCUUGUGAUAUGACUGUUGAUAAUUCUAAGGAUAAAGAAAAUUUAGUGUGUCUAACUUUAAACUAAUUUAGGCUUGUACAUUUCUAGAACUGUAUGUCACAGUAAAUUGCAAUUUUGGUUAUGUGACAUUAGCUGACAGUAAACUUUGUUAGCUAGACAGUAUUCAAAGAAACAGUAAAUUUUCAUGUGACUUAUAUAUCUGAAAAUAUCAUUUAUAGAAUACUUGUUACGGACCAGACAAGCUCUGUAUGAAAAGUCUUUUCUCUGUUAUCUCAUUUCCAGUCACCAUAUAUUAAACCUUAUCUACUAACUUUGUUCU